This 468-nucleotide ribosomal RNA is filed under the name uncultured bacterium. RNAcentral describes it as "partial 16S ribosomal RNA". It matches the Rfam family "Bacterial small subunit ribosomal RNA", at positions 28 to 507 of the family's 1533-position model. The record is from RNAcentral.
GACGAACGCUGGCGGCGUGCUUAACACAUGCAAGUCGAACGGAAAGGCCCUGCUUUUGUGGGGUGCUCGAGUGGCGAACGGGUGAGUAACACGUGAGCAACCUGCCCUUGACUUUGGGAUAACUUCAGGAAACUGGGGCUAAUACCGGAUAGGAGCUCCUGCUGCAUUGUGGGGGUUGGAAAGUUUCGGCGGUUGGGGAUGGACUCGCGGCUUAUCAGCUUGUUGGUGGGGUAGUGGCUUACCAAGGCUUUGACGGGUAGCCGGCCUGAGAGGGUGACCGGCCACAUUGGGACUGAGAUACGGCCCAGACUCCUACGGGAGGCAGCAGUGGGGAAUAUUGCACAAUGGGCGGAAGCCUGAUGCAGCAACGCCGCGUGCGGGAUGACGGCCUUCGGGUUGUAAACCGCUUUCGCCUGUGACGAAGCGUGAGUGACGGUAAUGGGUAAAGAAGCACCGGCUAACUACGUG